GAUGAACGCUGGCGGCGUGCCUAAUACAUGCAAGUCGAGCGAACAGAUGAGAAGCUUGCUUCUCUGAUGUUAGCGGCGGACGGGUGAGUAACACGUGGGUAACCUACCUAUAAGACUGGGAUAACUCCGGGAAACCGGGGCUAAUACCGGAUAAUAUUUUGAACCGCAUGGUUCAAUAGUGAAAGACGGUUUCGGCUGUCACUUAUAGAUGGACCCGCGCCGUAUUAGCUAGUUGGUAAGGUAACGGCUUACCAAGGCGACGAUACGUAGCCGACCUGGGAGGGUGAGCGGCCACACUGGAACUGAGACACGGUACAGACUACUACGGGGGGCAGCAGUAGGGAAGCUUCUGCAAUGGGCGAAAGCCUGACGGAGCAACGCCGCGUGAGUGAUGAAGGUCUUCGGAUCGUAAAACUCUGUUGUUAGGGAAGAACAAAUUUGUUAGUAACUGAACAAGUCUUGACGGUACCUAACCAGAAAGCCACGGCUAACUACGUGCCAGCCGCCGCCGUAA
Molecule: ribosomal RNA, 514 nt
Filed under: uncultured bacterium
Lineage: Bacteria
Description: partial 16S ribosomal RNA
Rfam family: Bacterial small subunit ribosomal RNA
Source: RNAcentral